This 324-nucleotide long non-coding RNA is filed under the name Aquila chrysaetos chrysaetos. Its description in RNAcentral is "lncRNA (ENSACCG00020012601.1)". The record is from RNAcentral. Lineage: Eukaryota; Metazoa; Chordata; Aves; Accipitriformes; Accipitridae.
UGCAGGUUUAUUGUGAAACAGUUGCAGUGUCAAUGAGAAGCUAGCAGUAAACCACAUACCACAAGCGUUCAGUGUUAUCUGAGGAAGAUGCAGUGUCCUAGCGCAUACCUCUGACGGAGCUGACCUGUGUCUUUCCUGGGCAUGGAGGUGCCAUAUGUCCUUCUCUUAACUAGACUCGUAGCAGAAGUUACCAGCAAAUCUACUGAAAGUUUGGUUUCGGAAACAGAAUGCUGUGUGGAUAUGUUGGAUUCAAACAGUUCCUGUCCAGUAACGAACCAGUGCAGUCCAGGUAUAGUGUGUCAUUGUUUAAUAAAAUUCCAGAUU